RNAcentral lists this ribosomal RNA (481 nucleotides) under uncultured bacterium. RNAcentral's name for it is "partial 16S ribosomal RNA". It matches the Rfam family "Bacterial small subunit ribosomal RNA", at positions 28 to 507 of the family's 1533-position model. The record is from RNAcentral.
GACGAACGCUGGCGGCGUGCUUAACACAUGCAAGUCGAACGGGAUCCGGGCUUUCGGGUUUGGUGAGAGUGGCGAACGGGUGAGUAACACGUGAGUAACCUGCCCCCUUCUUUGGGAUAACGUCGGGAAAUCGGCGCUAAUACUGGAUAUUCUUGCUGCAUCGCCUGGUGUGGUUUGGAAAGGGUUUCUGGUGGGGGAUGGGCUCGCGGCCUAUCAGCUUGUUGGUGGGGUGAUGGCCUACCAAGGCUUUGACGGGUAGCCGGCCUGAGAGGGUGUCCGGCCACACUGGGACGGAGACACGGCCCAGACUCCUACGGGAGGCAGCAGUGGGGAAUAUUGCACAAUGGGCGCAAGCCUGAUGCAGCGACGCAGCGUGAGGGAUGACGGACUUCGGGUUGUAAACCCCUUUCAGUAUGGAACAAGGAUCCUUCUUUUGGGGGGUUUGAGGGUACGUGCAGAAGAAGCGCCGGCUAACUACGUG